This 433-nucleotide ribosomal RNA is filed under the name uncultured bacterium. RNAcentral's name for it is "bacterial SSU rRNA". It matches the Rfam family "Bacterial small subunit ribosomal RNA", at positions 29 to 506 of the family's 1533-position model. The record is from RNAcentral.
ACGAACGCUGGCGGCAGGCCUAACACAUGCAAGUCGAACGCUCGUAGCAAUACGAGAGUGGCAGACGGGUGAGUAACGCGUGGGAACCUUCCCAGUGGUACGGAAUAGCCCAGGGAAACUUGGAGUAAUACCGUAUACGCCCGAAAGGGGAAAGAUUUAUCGCCAUUGGAUGAGCCCGCGUCGGAUUAGCUAGUUGGUGAGGUAAUGGCUCACCAAGGCGACGAUCCGUAGCUGGUCUGAGAGGAUGAUCAGCCACACUGGGACUGAGACACGGCCCAGACUCCUACGGGAGGCAGCAGUGGGGAAUAUUGGACAAUGGGCGAAAGCCUGAUCCAGCCAUGCCGCGUGAGUGACGAAGGCCUUAGGGUUGUAAAGCUCUUUUGUCGGGGACGAUAAUGACGGUACCCGAAGAAUAAGCUCCGGCUAACUUCGU